AGCGGCGGAUGGGUGAGUAACACGUGGGGAACCUGCCCCUAAGUCUGGGAUACCAUUUGGAAACAGGUGCUAAUACCGGAUAAUAAAGCAGAUCGCAUGAUCAGCUUUUGAAAGGCGGCGUAAGCUGUCGCUAAGGGAUGGCCCCGCGGUGCAUUAGCUAGUUGGUAAGGUAACGGCUUACCAAGGCGACGAUGCAUAGCCGAGUUGAGAGACUGAUCGGCCACAUUGGGACUGAGACACGGCCCAAACUCCUACGGGAGGCAGCAGUAGGGAAUCUUCCACAAUGGACGCAAGUCUGAUGGAGCAACACCGCGUGAGUGAAGAAGGUUUUCGGAUCGUAAAGCUCUGUUGUUGGCGAAGAAGGAUAGAGGUAGUAACUGGCCUUUAUUUGACGGUAAUCAACCAGAAAGUCACGGCUAACUACGUGCCAGCAGCCGCGGUAAUACGUAGGUGGCAAGCGUUGUCCGGAUUUAUUGGGCGUAAAGCGAGCGCAGGCGGAAAAAUAAGUCUAAUGUGAAAGCCCUCGGCUUAACCGAGGAACUGCAUCGGAAACUGUUUUUCUUGAGUGCAGGAGAGGAGAGUGGAACUCCAUGUGUAGCGGUGGAAUGCGUAGAUAUAUGGAAGAACACCAGUGGCGAAGGCGGCUCUCUGGUCUGCAACUGACGCUGAGGCUCGAAAGCAUGGGUAGCGAACAGGAUUAGAUACCCUGGUAGUCCAUGCCGUAAACGAUGAGUGCUAAGUGU
This 743-nucleotide ribosomal RNA is filed under the name uncultured bacterium. RNAcentral's name for it is "bacterial SSU rRNA". It matches the Rfam family "Bacterial small subunit ribosomal RNA", at positions 94 to 823 of the family's 1533-position model. The record is from RNAcentral.